GAAGCCCCGGCACCUUUUGGGGUGCUUCUCCAGACUUGCAAUCUGGUGUGCGUCGCACUGCGAGG
This 65-nucleotide transfer RNA is filed under the name Goggia hewitti. RNAcentral describes it as "tRNA-Cys". The record is from RNAcentral. Lineage: Eukaryota; Metazoa; Chordata; Lepidosauria; Squamata; Gekkonidae.